AAGGGUACGCAGGCUGUUGAAAAAGUCAGAUGUUAAAUUCCGGGGCUCAACCCCGGCCCGCAUCUGAAACUUUUCGACUUGAGUUAAGGAGAGGAAAGUGGAAUUCCUAGUGUAGCGGUGAAAUGCGUAGAUAUUAGGAGGAAUAUCCGUGGCGAAGGCGACUUUCUGGACGAUGACUGACGCUGAGGCACGAAAGCGUGGGGAGCAAACAGGAUUAGAUACCCUGGUAGUCCACGCGGUAAAC
This 244-nucleotide ribosomal RNA is filed under the name uncultured bacterium. Its description in RNAcentral is "partial 16S ribosomal RNA". It matches the Rfam family "Bacterial small subunit ribosomal RNA", at positions 563 to 807 of the family's 1533-position model. The record is from RNAcentral.